RNAcentral lists this ribosomal RNA (594 nucleotides) under uncultured Glomus. Its description in RNAcentral is "eukaryotic LSU rRNA". It matches the Rfam family "Eukaryotic large subunit ribosomal RNA", at positions 305 to 740 of the family's 3401-position model. Lineage: Eukaryota; Fungi; Glomeromycota; Glomeromycetes; Glomerales; Glomeraceae. The record is from RNAcentral.
UUCUCCUAAGGCUAAAUAACGGCGAGAGACCGAUAGCGAACAAGUAGGUUCCAAUCGUCCGUGAGGGAAAGAUGAAAAGAACUUUGAAAAGAGAGUUAAACAGUACGUGAAAUUGUUGAAAGGGAAACGAUUGAAGCCAGUCGUACCUUCGGGUAAUCAGCCUUUCGGGUGCGAUUCUGUGAGGUGUGAGGAGUUAAACGCCUUCAUGUUUUGCAUAUUCGUGCUCUUGGGUGUACUUGCCCGUGUGGUUGGUUAACAUCAAUUUUGGACGCCAUAAAAUGACUGGAGGAAUGUAGCUUCGAUCUCGUAUUGAAGUGUUAUAGCCUUUGGUAGAUGUGGUUUUCGAGAUUGAGGAUUGCAACGGAUACCCUUCGGGGCUACCUAUCUGAUCUCUGAUCGUUGCUCUGGUGCCGAAAGCUUGCUUACGGAUAUCAAAGUCGAUGGUCAAUAGGUUAGAAUAGGUUAAAUUCGUUAAGGAUGUUGACGUAAUGGCUUUAAACGACCCGUCUUGAAACACGGACCGAGGAGUCUAACAUAUAUGCGAGUGUUAGGGUGAUUAAACCCUUACGCGUAAUGAAAGUAAUUUUGGUGGGA